GUGGGGAAUAUUGCACAAUGGGCGCAAGCCUGAUGCAGCAACGCCGCGUGAGGGACGACGGCCUUCGGGUUGUAAACCUCUUUUAGCAGGGAAGAAGCGAAAGUGACGGUACCUGCAGAAAAAGCACCGGCUAACUACGUGCCAGCAGCCGCGGUAAUACGUAGGGUGCAAGCGUUGUCCGGAAUUAUUGGGCGUAAAGAGCUCGUAGGCGGUUUGUCGCGUCUGCUGUGAAAACCCGAGGCUCAACCUCGGGCCUGCAGUGGGUACGGGCAGACUAGAGUGCGGUAGGGGAGAUUGGAAUUCCUGGUGUAGCGGUGGAAUGCGCAGAUAUCAGGAGGAACACCGAUGGCGAAGGCAGAUCUCUGGGCCGUAACUGACGCUGAGGAGCGAAAGCGUGGGGAGCGAACAGGAUUAGAAACCCCGGUAGUCU
This 430-nucleotide ribosomal RNA is filed under the name uncultured bacterium. RNAcentral's name for it is "bacterial SSU rRNA". It matches the Rfam family "Bacterial small subunit ribosomal RNA", at positions 354 to 796 of the family's 1533-position model. The record is from RNAcentral.